UUUCCGUAGGUGAACCUGCGGAAGGAUCAUUCAUAAUUAGUGUUUUAUGGCACUUUUUUAAAUCCAUAUUCACCUUGUGUGCAAUGUCAGGGUUGGUCUCUUUUGAUCAGCCCCAAACAUCAACUAUUAUCUCAACUCUUUGUCUGAAAAAUAUUAUGGAUAAAACAAUUCAAAAUACAACUUUCAACAACGGAUCUCUUGGCUCUC
Molecule: unclassified non-coding RNA, 207 nt
Filed under: plant metagenome
Description: partial contains small subunit ribosomal RNA, internal transcribed spacer 1, and 5.8S ribosomal RNA
Source: RNAcentral